UAGGGAAUCUUCGGCAAUGGACGAAAGUCUGACCGAGCAACGCCGCGUGAGUGAAGAAGGUUUUCGGAUCGUAAAGCUCUGUUGUAAGAGAAGAACGGGUGUGAGAGUGGAAAGUUCACACUGUGACGGUAUCUUACCAGAAAGGGACGGCUAACUACGUGCCAGCAGCCGCGGUAAUACGUAGGUCCCGAGCGUUGUCCGGAUUUAUUGGGCGUAAAGCGAGCGCAGGCGGUUAGAUAAGUCUGAAGUUAAAGGCUGUAGCUUAACCAUAGUACGCUUUGGAAACUGUUUAACUUGAGUGCAGAAGGGGAGAGUGGAAUUCCAUGUGUAGCGGUGAAAUGCGUAGAUAUAUGGAGGAACACCGGUGGCGAAAGCGGCUCUCUGGUCUGUAACUGACGCUGAGGCUCGAAAGCGUGGGGAGCGAACAGGAUUAGAUACCCUGGUAGUCCACGCCGUAAACGAUGAGUGCUAGGUGUUAGGCCCUUUCCGGGGCUUAGUGCCGCAGCUAACGCAUUAAGCACUCCGCCUGGGGAGUACGACCGCAAGGUUG
This 550-nucleotide ribosomal RNA is filed under the name uncultured bacterium. Its description in RNAcentral is "bacterial SSU rRNA". It matches the Rfam family "Bacterial small subunit ribosomal RNA", at positions 355 to 896 of the family's 1533-position model. The record is from RNAcentral.